Molecule: ribosomal RNA, 485 nt
Filed under: Fusarium flocciferum
Lineage: Eukaryota; Fungi; Ascomycota; Sordariomycetes; Hypocreales; Nectriaceae
Description: eukaryotic LSU rRNA
Rfam family: Eukaryotic large subunit ribosomal RNA
Source: RNAcentral
UGAAAUCUGGCUUUCGGGCCCGAGUUGUAAUUUGUAGAGGAUGAUUUUGAUGCGGUGCCUUCCGAGUUCCCUGGAACGGGACGCCAUAGAGGGUGAGAGCCCCGUCUGGUUGGAUGCCAAAUCUCUGUAAAUCUCCUUCGACGAGUCGAGUAGUUUGGGAAUGCUGCUCUAAAUGGGAGGUAUAUGUCUUCUAAAGCUAAAUACCGGCCAGAGACCGAUAGCGCACAAGUAGAGUGAUCGAAAGAUGAAAAGCACUUUGAAAAGAGAGUUAAAAAGUACGUGAAAUUGUUGAAAGGGAAGCGUUUAUGACCAGACUUGGGCUUGGUUAAUCAUCUGGGGUUCUCUCCAGUGCACUUUUCCAGUCCAGGCCAGCAUCAGUUUUCGCCGGGGGAUAAAGGCUUCGGGAAUGUGGCUCCCCUCGGGGAGUGUUAUAGCCCGUUGUGUAAUACCCUGGCGGGGACUGAGGUUCGCGCUUCUGCAAGGAU